CGGGACGGGUGAGUAACGCGUGGAUAACCUGCCUCACACUGGGGGAUAACAGUUAGAAAUGGCUGCUAAUACCGCAUAAGCGCACAGUACCGCAUGGUACGGUGUGAAAAACUCCGGUGGUGUGAGAUGGAUCCGCGUCUGAUUAGUUAGUUGGCGGGGUAACGGCCCACCAAGACAGCGAUCAGUAGCCGACCUGAGAGGGUGACCGGCCACAUUGGGACUGAGACACGGCCCAA
Molecule: ribosomal RNA, 236 nt
Filed under: uncultured bacterium
Lineage: Bacteria
Description: partial 16S ribosomal RNA
Rfam family: Bacterial small subunit ribosomal RNA
Source: RNAcentral